RNAcentral lists this ribosomal RNA (253 nucleotides) under uncultured bacterium. RNAcentral describes it as "partial 16S ribosomal RNA". It matches the Rfam family "Bacterial small subunit ribosomal RNA", at positions 524 to 776 of the family's 1533-position model. The record is from RNAcentral.
UACGUAGGUGACAAGCGUUGUCCGGAUUUACUGGGCGUAAAGAGCGCGCAGGCGGUCGAUCAAGUCGAGUGUGAAAGCCCCCGGCUCAACUGGGGAGGGUCAUUCGAUACUGAUCGACUCGAAGGCAGGAGAGGGUAGUGGAAUUCCCGGUGUAGUGGUGAAGUGCGUAGAUAUCGGGAGGAACACCAGUGGCGAAGGCGACUACCUGGCCUGUUCUUGAUGCUGAGGCGCGAAAGCUAGGGGAGCAAACGGG